UACAAAUCUGCUACCCUACUGUGAAUUAGA
RNAcentral lists this non-coding RNA (30 nucleotides) under Rattus norvegicus (Norway rat). Lineage: Eukaryota; Metazoa; Chordata; Mammalia; Rodentia; Muridae. The record is from RNAcentral.